RNAcentral lists this long non-coding RNA (671 nucleotides) under Rattus norvegicus (Norway rat). Its description in RNAcentral is "long non-coding RNA NONRATT031815". The record is from RNAcentral. Lineage: Eukaryota; Metazoa; Chordata; Mammalia; Rodentia; Muridae.
AGGCCCCUGCUAUAAUCCCCCAGGGAGGGGCUGGGGGCGUGGCUGGUCUUAGAAGACUUGUCUGGUCUGCAGGAAGUCCAAACAAUGCCAUCCAAUUCCCAGGCAUAUCUUUCCUUCCAGAAACAAAACAAACAAAACAAAACCUUGAGGGGGCAGGGGAACUAGAGUCCUUAUGGAGGUGACAUAAGUCAUCCGCUAAGGAAAGGAAGACCCAGUACAUGUCAGUCAGGGUAUGUUAGGCAUACUGGAAAGAGGAUGAGAACUGGCCGUUCUCACAGGGAAUAUGGAGUCAGAAGAGGCUAGAGAUCUCAGAACAGCAAUAACUGCUGUGUUCUGCCAAUCCAUCAGGGAGUAGAAACUUCCUCGGUGGAAGUAUGGGGUGGGUUUCAAGAAGCCAGGAGUCAGGGAGUGCAGGCACAAGCAAAGGCCAUAGGUGUGAGUUUAAAUCCAGGUGCAGCAUCACACACACACACACACACACACACACACACCUCUGUUAUCCCAGCACUUGGGAAGCUGAGGCAGGAGAAUCAUGUUUGAGCCUAGCCUGGGCUACAUGCAGAGAUUGUAAAAAAACUGGUCUCUUGCAACUCUCGAGCACCAGUCUGUCCCACAGAAGCCCCAUCUCUGGCCACAUGUUCAAGUGGAUCAGGAAAGGUGCCCACCGUUAA